Long non-coding RNA from Zeugodacus cucurbitae (melon fly), 1863 nucleotides. RefSeq lists it as uncharacterized. NCBI's taxonomy places the organism in Eukaryota, Metazoa, Arthropoda, Insecta, Diptera, Tephritidae. The transcript is spliced from 3 exons. The record is from RefSeq and is a predicted model, not a curated record.
AUUAAAUUUUAAAGCUUUCGCUUUCUUUGUAAAAACUGUUUAUUUGAAUGAAAUUUUACAUAACACGGUUGCACGAAAUACAUAGCUUUUAAAAGUUAUUACAGAAAUAUUUCUGAAAUAUUUUAGAUAAAUUUGAAAACAUUUAAUAAUGUCGUGAUAUAAAACAUAAAAUUGUUAUGAAAACCACAUAAAGUAUUCUUUAAAACUUAAAAAAAAAAAGAAAAAUAUUUGAAAAAUGUCUAAUAAUUUACUAAAAGCAAUAAAUUUUGUAGUAUAACACGGCAACUCGACAUUGGAGUUUUUUGUAUUUUUUAGUACCAUGCAACCCGCGCGAAGUGUCCAUUGCCUUGAGUUGUUGUUGUUCAUAGUACCAAAAUCUGCACUACAACCCGCGCCAAGUGUCGAUUUAGUAGUAUUUAUCGACAUAAAUCCUUGCGAAGUGUCUUGCGUUUUCCUUCAUUCUAUUGUAUUCGUAUCGCAAUUUCUUUCUAUGUAUUUUAGAUUAUCUACUUGUAGGUUUACACAAUGGUUUUUACGUUGUUGUCACUUUUCCUUUCAGGAAGAACUGAAGAAAAUUAUUCAAUUUGUGAUUUUUGUCAUCGUCGCGAAAAGCGUUUGUGGACAUUACUUUUAUGAAUGAAGCAACUUUGCCAACUGAAUGUGCGCUUGCGUUGAAUGAAAAUGUUUUUGUUGUGUUUGCUACAAAAUUAGACUUCGUCAAUUUGCUGGCAUAUUGACUUAUGACGCUGCUUCUGCGCCUUGAGACAUACAUAUGUAUGUAUGCACGCAAGUUUUUUUUGAUAUUCUUACAAGUACUCGCUUAUGUGUACAUUAGGGUGGCCAUUAGUUGUAUGGAGGAUAAAAAAAGUUUCUGGAUUCUCGAUCGCACCCCCUAGAAAUAUGCGAAUAGCCCAAAAACUAGUACAUACAAAGUUUUGGGUCAAUCUAAAAACGUUUAGAGGUUGCGCAAGGAGCUUGAAAUCCUGAAAAAAUAAGAAUUUUUGCCAUUUUUAUGUAUUUUUAUAAUUUCGCUUAAAAAUGAAUUGUGUUGGUAAUGCGGGCACGAACUGUCUACUGAAAUUCAAUUUAUUUCAAAAUAAACGAGGUGGAGAAAUUAAAAAGAAAAGUUUGGACAAAGGCCGAGACACUACUUUUCCUGAGUUGCUACAGCGAGAGGAUAUGGGCAUGUUUUAGAAGACAUGAUAUUUCAAGGAUUUGCGGAUGAAACGGUCAAUGCGGCUGCUCUCGUCGCAAAAAUGCGAACACUUUUGAGUGCAUAUACAUACAUACAUCGGCGAAAGAUAAUGAGGGGCAGACCGGGCCUGCUCUGUGCAUAUAUGCAGGAGAUGGACGAUAUUUUUGACGACAGUUGUAUGGUGUCCAUCAACAUCGGGACAGACCCCCAAGAGGCUCUAACUGAAACAUAUGGUAAGUUAAAAAGUUUAUUUAUUAUGUAUUGCCCAAGCUCUCACCAACAGUUGAAGACGUACCAAGUACAUCUAGAUAGAGUAGGCUGUCUGUCCUACACACCUAGUCAAAGAGCCGCACACGGUGAUUGCUAGUCCAUCUCCUAGAUAUCGCAAAAGUACAAGAGAGCGAUACUUCGAAAAAAAACUCGAACUAAAGAAAAUAAGUGUAGAAGAAAAAGAGAAAUUACAGGCGAAUAUGCACAAAAUGAUGGAAGAUUUAUUUAAUAAACGAUACGUCCAAGUGGAAAUUGAACAAAAAAAACUAAACAUAGAAAAAAAGAAACUUAAGCUUCUCCACCAAUGUUGUAGUACUGAAUAAAACGCAGUAAUACUUUUAUUGAAAGAAAAUAAAUUGUUUUUUUACUGUUUUAUAUGUAUAUGCAUGUACAAAUGA